RNAcentral lists this ribosomal RNA (483 nucleotides) under uncultured bacterium. RNAcentral describes it as "bacterial SSU rRNA". It matches the Rfam family "Bacterial small subunit ribosomal RNA", at positions 903 to 1397 of the family's 1533-position model. The record is from RNAcentral.
AAAUGAAUAGACGGGGGCCCGCACAAGCAGCGGAGCGUGUGGUUUAAUUCGAUGCAACACGAAAAACCUUACCAGGGUUUGACAUGCUAGAAGUAGGAACCUGAAAGGGCAACCAACUGUUAAGUCAGUAGCUAGCACAGGUGCUGCAUGGCUGUCGUCAGCUCGUGCCGUGAGGUGUAUGGUUAAGUCCUGCAACGAGCGCAACCCUCGUUGCUAGUUAAUUUCUCUAGCGAGACUGCCCCGCAAAACGGGGAGGAAGGUGGGGAUGACGUCAAGUCAGCAUGGCCCUUAUGCCCUGGGCUACACACACGCUACAAUGGGUGGUACAAUAGGUCGCGACAUGGCGACAUGUAGCUAAUCCUUAAAGCCAUCCUCAGUUCGGAUUGCAGGCUGAAACUCGCCUGCAUAAAGUCGGAGUUGCUAGUAACCGCAUAUCAGAAAGGUGCGGUGAAUACGUUCUCGGGCCUUGUACACACCGCCCGU